RNAcentral lists this long non-coding RNA (207 nucleotides) under Gossypium raimondii (Peruvian cotton). Its description in RNAcentral is "long non-coding RNA (GRAI_LNC003354)". The record is from RNAcentral. Lineage: Eukaryota; Viridiplantae; Streptophyta; Magnoliopsida; Malvales; Malvaceae.
AUGUAGAUACAAAUUCAGCCCAUUGAUAGAUAAAUAUUGAGGCCAUGAUUUCGAGAUAAGUCCCCAAUCUCUUGUCACAUUCACAAUCAACCCAUACAUGCACCCAUGCCUGGACCAAUAUGGCUAGGAAGAUUAUCAAUUUUACGUUUGUUGUUUUCCUCGACCACUAGGUUUCAUUUAUCUUGUGGUCCGAACAAUGAAUUAUUA